AUGAUUAUUAGCAUCAAAUCCGUUUUUGAUACGGGGUGGAAGGGGAUCCUGGCAUGCUAUAUUUGUGGUACAGAGAGAGGUCAUCCCUCGCCUUUGUUCUUGCCAGUGCAAUUUUGCCUGCUUUCUGCUCUUUCUACCAUCAGCCGUGAUCGAGGGGAGUGUGCUAUGGCGGGUCAUGGAGGGAGUGUGAGCAAUGUUUUGGGGAAAACACUUGCGAGUGGAGAGGGAUCGAGGGUGAUGACGGAUGCCACGGCUGCUGAAUCCUCUCUCCACCAGCUGGGGAUGAAGGUGGCCACUGCCCCUUCCAUGACCCCUGAGAGUAAGGGGAAGUCGAUGCCGAGGCGCCCCCGUGGCGAUGGCUCGGCUCUGAUUAUCGACAUGGAGGCCGCGCGGAAGGCUAUCGGUGGAUCACGGGUGGUGGGGCGGCUUCUUUCGCCCUUCCAAGUGAACCCGCAGGUCAUAGUCGAUGAGCUUCGAGCUUGUUCAGCAUGGAGGCUGCACGGAACGGUCACUGUUCAAGAUGUGGCCAGCGAGGACGGGAGGUUCGUCCUGAACUUUUCCACCGAGGAGGACCGGCGGUUCAUUUUGAAGGCCCAGCCAUGGCACCAUAAGCGUGAUGGAGUCAUCUUCGCCGAGUUCGACGGCAAGGGAAACCCAGCAGAGGUUGACCUUGGCAUAAUGCCAAUAUGGGUGCAGGUUCGUGAUCUAGAUUUUGAACUCAAAACUGAGCGCAUGGGCUGGACUUUAGGAGAACAAAUUGGGGAUGUGAUUGUUGUUUCCCAUAGAGAUCACUUAAUUGUAGAGAAAUAUCUGCGUAUAAGGGUGGAAAUCCCUCUGCAUGAACCUCUUAAGACAAGAGUAGAAUUCACUCCUUUGGGUAGUUCUGAGAGUGUUAAGUAUGAUGUUAGAUAUGAGAAACUUCCUUUGUACUGUGAGUGCUGUGGGAUUGUAGGACAUACCUCAGAGCGCUAUUGUAGUAUACCUAAGGAUAAAAGGGUUGUUUCUUUUCCAAAGAAUCUUAGUGUAGAGGCAUAUUGGAAGGGAACAGGGGCAAGUAAAAGAACACUUUUGUUCACCGGCUCCAACAGCAACAACUACUCUAGAGCUGCGGAAAAGAGUGUGGUCAAGGUGACCAAAGCCGUGGCUAACCUCACGGUCACGGAUAUGAUCACUACGACGACAACGACGCUUGCCGCUGCGGCGUUUGGUGGGCCAACCCAGGAGGGCGUCACGCUCGGCCAGGAGGGCCGGGUGUAUGGGGCUCCAACGCCGCUCCACCCAGGCGCUGGUUCUGGUCAGGAGGACCAGCAAACUCUUCCGAGGCCCUCUGCUCUCUCUGGCCAGGCGGGCCAGGGAAAGGAGGCGGGGGGGCGGCUCUUCCAUUAG
This 1386-nucleotide ribosomal RNA is filed under the name Triticum aestivum (bread wheat). RNAcentral describes it as "partial small subunit ribosomal RNA". The record is from RNAcentral. Lineage: Eukaryota; Viridiplantae; Streptophyta; Magnoliopsida; Poales; Poaceae.